Rosa chinensis is the source of this 326-nucleotide long non-coding RNA. RefSeq lists it as uncharacterized. Lineage: Eukaryota; Viridiplantae; Streptophyta; Magnoliopsida; Rosales; Rosaceae. The record is from RefSeq and is a predicted model, not a curated record. The transcript is spliced from 3 exons.
GUCGUGCUUUUCAUAUUUCACCGUUGGGUUUUGAUAGAUAUAGAGGAUGAAGUUAGAGAAUUGGGGGAAAGAAGAGGAACUUCAAGUUUGGAUGCCCAAGUGAUGAAUUAUGGGAGAUGACACUACCUGUAAGACAAUUCAUAUAAUUGUCUUAGGCUGAGAAGGUUGGUCGGGAUUCAAGGGGGAUGCUUGGCCUACAUUACCUGUGUUUAAUUCAUAAAUUGGAGGUGUUUUUGGAGUAAUAGAAGGGACAAGUAGAGUUCACCUAGUCAGUUGCUGACCAAAGAAUUUAUGCUCAAUAACCCUUAGAUUUACAUCGAAUGGUG